AACGGCCGUACCAUGCUGAAUAUACCGGUUCUCGUUAGAUCACCGAAGUCAAGCAUCAUUGAGCGCGGUCAGUACUUGGGUGGGUGACCACCUGGGAACACCGCGUGGCGU
RNAcentral lists this ribosomal RNA (111 nucleotides) under Caerostris extrusa. The record is from RNAcentral. Lineage: Eukaryota; Metazoa; Arthropoda; Arachnida; Araneae; Araneidae.